Molecule: ribosomal RNA, 253 nt
Filed under: uncultured bacterium
Lineage: Bacteria
Description: partial 16S ribosomal RNA
Rfam family: Bacterial small subunit ribosomal RNA
Source: RNAcentral
GACGGAGGAUGCAAGCGUUAUCCGGAAUGAUUGGGCGUAAAGCGUCCGCAGGUGGCAGUUCAAGUCUGCUGUCAAAGACCGGGGCUCAACCUCGGAAAGGCAGUGGAAACUGAACAGCUAGAGUAUGGUAGGGGCAAAGGGAAUUCCUGGUGUAGCGGUGAAAUGCGUAGAGAUCAGGAAGAACAUCGGUGGCGAAGGCGCUUUGCUAGACCAUAACUGACACUCAGGGACGAAAGCUAGGGGAGCGAAUGGG